Mycena epipterygia is the source of this 95-nucleotide non-coding RNA. Lineage: Eukaryota; Fungi; Basidiomycota; Agaricomycetes; Agaricales; Mycenaceae. The record is from the annotation of a GenBank genome assembly.
UCGGACGUGGUGUACGGAACACGACCAGCAUUCUUAAUAGGUGAAAAUUGCCAUCAUGAUGCUUGCAGCCCGGGGUUCGAUUCCCCGCGUCCGAA